GUGGACGCUGGGCAUGGGUGAGCCCAGGUGGCUGUAAACCAUCCGCGUUUGCUUGGAGGUUCGAGUCCUCCCGUCCACA
This 79-nucleotide transfer RNA is filed under the name Polyangium sorediatum. RNAcentral's name for it is "tRNA-Tyr". It matches the Rfam family "tRNA". From Rfam's summary of the family: Transfer RNA (tRNA) molecules are approximately 80 nucleotides in length. RNAcentral also lists the same sequence under 3 other names. Lineage: Bacteria; Pseudomonadati; Myxococcota; Polyangiales; Polyangiaceae. The record is from RNAcentral.